This 441-nucleotide ribosomal RNA is filed under the name uncultured bacterium. Its description in RNAcentral is "partial 16S ribosomal RNA". It matches the Rfam family "Bacterial small subunit ribosomal RNA", at positions 338 to 795 of the family's 1533-position model. The record is from RNAcentral.
CCUACGGGUGGCAGCAGUGGGGAAUAUUGGGCAAUGGGCGCAAGCCUGACCCAGCAACGCCGCGUGAAGGAAGAAGGCUUUCGGGUUGUAAACUUCUUUUGACAGGGAAGAGUAGAAGACGGUACCUGUCGAAUAAGCCACGGCUAACUACGUGCCAGCAGCCGCGGUAAUACGGAGGAUGCGAGCGUUAUCCGGAUUUAUUGGGUUUAAAGGGUGCGCAGGCGGAGGUGCAAGUCAGCGGUCAAAUUGCGGGGCUCAACCCCGUACUGCCGUUGAAACUGCAUCCCUUGAGUGCGCGAGAAGUAUGCGGAAUGCGUGGUGUAGCGGUGAAAUGCAUAGAUAUCACGCAGAACUCCGAUUGCGAAGGCAGCAUACCGGCGCGCAACUGACGCUCAUGCACGAAAGCGUGGGUAUCGAACAGAAUUAGAUACCCUUGUAGUC